GGUUAAGUGACUAAGCGUACACGGUGGAUGCCUGGGCAGUCAGAGGCGAUGAAGGACGUACUAACUUGCGAUAAGCGCAGAUAAGGCAGUAAGAGCCGUUUGAGUCUGCGAUUUCCGAAUGGGGAAACCCAACUGCACAAGCAGUUACUGUUAACUGAAUACAUAGGUUAACAGAGCAAACCGGGGGAACUGAAACAUCUAAGUACCCCGAGGAGAAGAAAUCAACCGAGAUUCCGGUAGUAGCGGCGAGCGAACCUGGAUUAGCCCUUAAGCACUCGGUGAAGUAGGUGAACAAGCUGGAAAGCUUGGCGAUACAGGGUGAUAGCCCCGUAACCGACGCUUCAUCGAGCGUGAAAUCGAGUAGGGCGGGACACGUGAUAUCCUGUCUGAAUAUGGGGGGACCAUCCUCCAAGGCUAAAUACUCCUGACUGACCGAUAGUGAACCAGUACCGUGAGGGAAAGGCGAAAAGAACCCCUGUGAGGGGAGUGAAAUAGAACCUGAAACCGUGUACGUACAAGCAGUAGGAGCACCUUCGUGGUGUGACUGCGUACCUUUUGUAUAAUGGGUCAGCGACUUAUAUUCAGUGGCAAGGUUAACCGUAUAGGGGAGCCGUAGCGAAAGCGAGUCUUAACUGGGCGCUCAGUCUCUGGAUAUAGACCCGAAACCGGGUGAUCUAGCCAUGGGCAGGUUGAAGGUUGAGUAACAUCAACUGGAGGACCGAACCGACUAAUGUUGAAAAAUUAGCGGAUGACUUGUGGCUAGGGGUGAAAGGCCAAUCAAACUCGGAGAUAGCUGGUUCUCCCCGAAAGCUAUUUAGGUAGCGCCUCGGACGAAUACUACUGGGGGUAGAGCACUGUUAAGGCUAGGGGGUCAUCCCGACUUACCAACCCUUUGCAAACUCCGAAUACCAGUAAGUACUAUCCGGGAGACACACGGCGGGUGCUAACGUCCGUCGUGGAGAGGGAAACAACCCAGACCGCCAGCUAAGGUCCCAAAGUAUUGCUAAGUGGGAAACGAUGUGGGAAGGCUCAGACAGCUAGGAUGUUGGCUUAGAAGCAGCCAUCAUUUAAAGAAAGCGUAAUAGCUCACUAGUCGAGUCGGCCUGCGCGGAAGAUGUAACGGGGCUAAGCAAUACACCGAAGCUGCGGCAAUAUCUUUUAGAUAUUGGGUAGGGGAGCGUUCUGUAAGCCGUUGAAGGUGAAUCGUAAGGUUUGCUGGAGGUAUCAGAAGUGCGAAUGCUGACAUGAGUAACGACAAAGGGGGUGAAAAACCUCCUCGCCGGAAGACCAAGGGUUCCUGUCCAACGUUAAUCGGGGCAGGGUGAGUCGACCCCUAAGGUGAGGCCGAAAGGCGUAAUCGAUGGGAAACGGGUUAAUAUUCCCGUACUUCUGACUAUUGCGAUGGGGGGACGGAGAAGGCUAGGUGGGCCAGGCGACGGUUGUCCUGGUUCAAGUGCGUAGGCUUGAGA
Molecule: ribosomal RNA, 1469 nt
Filed under: Vibrio cholerae
Lineage: Bacteria; Pseudomonadati; Pseudomonadota; Gammaproteobacteria; Vibrionales; Vibrionaceae
Description: partial 23S ribosomal RNA
Rfam family: Bacterial large subunit ribosomal RNA
Source: RNAcentral